This 1084-nucleotide long non-coding RNA is filed under the name Homo sapiens (human). RNAcentral's name for it is "novel transcript". Lineage: Eukaryota; Metazoa; Chordata; Mammalia; Primates; Hominidae. The record is from RNAcentral.
GGCACUUGAUCCAAAGAGAGCCUCUGAAAUGGCUGCACCCGAUAUCUCAGCAGGUUACCCCAUAGAGUGUUGAGUGGGCAACUCAAUUAUUCCCUCACCUGAAGAAGUCUGAAAGCAAGACGAAGAGAGUCCUUUUGCAAGAGUGAUGUACAAAGCCCUACGGACAUACAGACUUCGUGUGCAAGUCCUGUGGAGGAGAGGAGAUGAGAGAGCAAUCGGUUGGUGGCAUCUGGGGACAUUAAACAGUGACGUGGACACAGUGAUGGCCUGCAGUGGUGAACCAGUGAGGGAACAAGUCCUAUGGUUGGGGAGCUACCUGAGGCUGGAGAGCAGAGUACAGCCAGGCCCACAGUGGUGCAGCAUACCAGAGUCAAGGUCUCACUAGGAUGUCCAGGCUGGCCUCGAACUCCUGGGCUCAAGCAAUCCACCUGCCUUGGCCUCUGAAAGUGCAGGAAUUACAGCUGCUGUGCCCUGAGGGGUGAGGGAAAUGUGGUCGCCUAAAACACCAUCAAAGGUUGCUGCUUAAACACUUCCCUCAGCCAUAUAUGAAGGCUAAAUCAGAUAAAGAUCCCAGGAAGUGUGCAACAGGCACAAGAUUCAAAGGAAGCAGGCUGCUUUCUUGCAGCAAGACAAGGCAAGUUGGAAGAGAGGAUUAUUUUUCUUCUUCAAAGCUCUCACCCUCAGGAGGAUUCCUAUCAACUACUUUGGGAAAGAGUUUUUGAUUUGUGCUGGAUUGUUGCUGAGCAUUAAGGACAUCCUACCAAAGUCCAGGAAACUGCUAAUUAAUCCUGCAGGAGACUGCAAAGACACACUUGCCAUUCAUCCAGCAAGUGCUAUUUAAAAGCCUGUUGUGAGCAUCUGAGUGCAUUUGGGCUAAAGAGCUCAUGGACUAGACGCAACAGGAGCUAUACAGACUACCAGUGCACCACCAGCGUGCACCAGAAUGCAUGUCCCAGCAAACAACUCUCAAUUGGCCAAUUUGCAACAGGGCACCCUUUAGCCUCUUUGGCCCUGGUCAUUUCCUUCCCACCCUGCCCUUUUGGAGGCAUCAACAUUGAGCUCAAAACAUGUUCAGUGCAUUCUU